This 425-nucleotide ribosomal RNA is filed under the name uncultured bacterium. RNAcentral describes it as "partial 16S ribosomal RNA". It matches the Rfam family "Bacterial small subunit ribosomal RNA", at positions 354 to 796 of the family's 1533-position model. The record is from RNAcentral.
GUGGGGAAUAUUGGGCAAUGGGGGAAACCCUGACCCAGCAACGCCGCGUGAAGGAAGAAGGUUUUCGGAUCGUAAACUUCUAUCCUUGGUGAAGAUAAUGACGGUAGCCAAGAAGGAAGCCCCGGCUAACUACGUGCCAGCAGCCGCGGUAAUACGUAGGGGGCAAGCGUUGUCCGGAAUGAUUGGGCGUAAAGGGCGCGUAGGCGGCCUGGUAAGUCUGGAGUGAAAGUCCUGCUUUUAAGGUGGGAAUUGCUUUGGAUACUGUGGGGCUUGAGUGCAGGAGAGGUAAGCGGAAUUCCCGGUGUAGCGGUGAAAUGCGUAGAGAUCGGGAGGAACACCAGUGGCGAAGGCGGCUUACUGGACUGUAACUGACGCUGAGGCGCGAAAGUGUGGGGAGCAAACAGGAUUAGAAACCCCGGUAGUCC